CCUCUUGCACUUUCAUCCUUGCCUCCACAUUGUCUUCCAAAAGAAUCCAAAAACUCAACAACUGUUUUAAAUGUUGUUUAAUAUUAUGUAAUUGUCAUGUCUUAAUACUAGAGGAAUGUGGCCGACACCCAAUACCUUAAACUUCCAUUGGACAAAUUGCUAAACUUAGGAGCCAUGAUAAAUAGUGCAUGUGGCAUAAGUAAUCAUUCAUAUCUAUAGAAUAUAACAUAAAACUCAUUGUCUUUCAACACAUAUUCAACUUCAUACUUUAAUCGUGAAAUGCAUAGAGAGUAUUAUCUUGAACAUAAUUGAUAAGCUGGUACUUUAUCAAUUUAUCUAUAUUUUUUGCUUUAUCAAUGCAUAGAGUAUUAUCUUCAUACUUUAUUUUGUUAUAUUUUUAUAGAAAAAAAUGGAGCACUCAUUGUGGUCUUUAGUAUGUUACAUUUUUUAUAUGUUGGAGAAAGUUAUGAAAAAAAUUACAAGUCAAAAGCAAGCUAAAUUGAUUUAGGAAAAAAAAAACUAUACUCGGUAACAGAGGUCCGCUGUGGUGAGUAGAUGAUUCUGUUAAUGAAGUCAAUGUAAAAGUAGACCUCAUGAAAGCAAGGUCUAAUCCCGUGAUUGCAGAGUCAACAGUUUGAUCAAAGCUCGCUUUAGCGAGGUCAGAUCAAGUUAGCGUAAGUGUUGCUAGGGUUAAACACCUGUGUUUGCAAGGUUUUGUUCCACAAUAGCGAGUAAGGUAAAGAUUUUCUGAAAUUUUAAAUCCAUUUGAUUUCCCAUAAUUGUGGAAGACUCUGUCUUGCACAGUUUUUGAAGGUGAUUUUUGACAUAACGCCUUGGAGACUUCUACUACCAUAUAAAUACAGAGGGUGCACAAUUUGUUGAUUA
This is a long non-coding RNA of Lycium ferocissimum, 885 nucleotides long. RefSeq lists it as uncharacterized. The transcript is spliced from 2 exons. Lineage: Eukaryota; Viridiplantae; Streptophyta; Magnoliopsida; Solanales; Solanaceae. The record is from RefSeq and is a predicted model, not a curated record.